RNAcentral lists this long non-coding RNA (284 nucleotides) under Nicotiana benthamiana. Its description in RNAcentral is "long non-coding RNA (NBEN_LNC008936)". Lineage: Eukaryota; Viridiplantae; Streptophyta; Magnoliopsida; Solanales; Solanaceae. The record is from RNAcentral.
AUAAUUGAGUCAAUAUUAAUUGUGAUCUUGAUUCCUCAACUUGGCUCAUAACAUGGCUUCUCUACUAAAAUUAUUUUUCCAAAAUCAUGCAUAUUAAAAUUAAGUGUCAAAUGAUUUUAAACUAUACAUAUUUACAUUUGUUAAAAUGUUUUCCAAACAUGCCUCAAAAAUCUAAGCCAAGACUGCAUGACAAUCGAUUGUGAAUUAAUGAUAAUCGAUUGUGUUCUUAUGAUAAUCGAGUAUCUCUAAGCCAAGACUGCAUGACAAUCGAUUGUGAAUUAAUG